UAUUUAAAAAUUGUAAAUCCUUUUGUACUACUUCCCUCUACGUUAUUUUAGGUCUCCCCUUUUCCUUCUUACUCCUUCCACCACUAAUUUAUAACAUUUUCGCACUAGAGCAUUUGUUUCUCUAUGCUGGACAUGACCAAACCAUCUUAAUCAAUACUCUCAUUUUAUCCCCAAAUUUUGCUACAUACACUCUCUUGCAGAGAUGAUCACUCUCUUGCAGAGAUGAUCAUUCAUAAUCUUAUCCAUUAGCAAUACACAAAUAAAAAUUAAAAGAAAAAAGAUUAUGUAAUACCCUUCCUAUGCUGGGGUGAAAACUUUCCAUUUUUUCUUGUUU
Molecule: unclassified non-coding RNA, 334 nt
Filed under: Hevea brasiliensis (rubber tree)
Lineage: Eukaryota; Viridiplantae; Streptophyta; Magnoliopsida; Malpighiales; Euphorbiaceae
Source: RNAcentral